UACGUAGGGUGCAAGCGUUAUCCGGAAUCACUGGGUUUAAAGCGUGCGUAGGCGGCUAAAUAAGUCAGAGGUGAAAGCUUGCAGCUUAACUGCGAAAUUGCCUUUGAUACUGUAUAGCUUGAAAGGAGCUGAGGUCAGCAGAAUGUGGCAUGUAGCGGUGAAAUUCAUAGAUAUGCCAUAGAAUACCAAUUGCGAAGGCAGCUGGCUGGGCUUACUUUGACGCUGAGGCCCGAAAGCGUGGGGAUCGAACAGG
This 253-nucleotide ribosomal RNA is filed under the name uncultured bacterium. RNAcentral's name for it is "partial 16S ribosomal RNA". It matches the Rfam family "Bacterial small subunit ribosomal RNA", at positions 524 to 776 of the family's 1533-position model. The record is from RNAcentral.